RNAcentral lists this ribosomal RNA (232 nucleotides) under uncultured bacterium. RNAcentral describes it as "partial 16S ribosomal RNA". It matches the Rfam family "Bacterial small subunit ribosomal RNA", at positions 109 to 334 of the family's 1533-position model. The record is from RNAcentral.
AGUAAUACUUGGGUAAUCUACCCUCGAGAGGGAAACAACCUGCCGAAAGGCGGGCUAAUGUCCCAUAAGACCACAGGAGCGCAUGCUCCAGGGGUCAAAGCUCCGCAAGGGGCGCUUGAGGAGGAACCCGAGUCCUAUCAUGGUAGUUGGUGAGGUAACGGCUCACCAAGCCUUUGACGGGUAGCCGGCCUGAAAGGGUGAUCGGCCACACUGGCACUGAGACACGGGCCAG